This is a long non-coding RNA of Glossina fuscipes, 1685 nucleotides long. RefSeq lists it as uncharacterized. NCBI's taxonomy places the organism in Eukaryota, Metazoa, Arthropoda, Insecta, Diptera, Glossinidae. The transcript is spliced from 4 exons. The record is from RefSeq and is a predicted model, not a curated record.
AUGGUGUCUGUUUAAUAAAUAACAAAAAAACGGCAAAAAUAAGAAAUAAGUAAAAUCAAAAAAAAAUAUAUCGAUGUAAAGAACAGAAAAUUGUGCAAGUUUGGUAGAAAAAGUUCGAGAUUAAAAAGUAAUAUACGUAAAGAAAAAAAAUUGUUAAUAUUAAAAUAUUAGUAAAAAACAGAAAGAAACUAUUAAAAUUAAAAUAUUAUAAAAGAACAAAAAAAUUAUAAAAAGGGGCGAACAUUAAUCUAUUAACCAAAAAUUGGCAAACGACUGGCUGUAUCAUAGACUUAAUUUAUAGAAACUUGAACACGAAUCCAGAAAUUUUUGUGGAAUAUUUUGCCUUAUAUUGUUCGCAAUAAAAGAAAAAAAGUGAUUUUAGGAAUUUUUUGGUUAUAUCUGUUUCUGGUAUGGAAAAUGAAACUUUACAAGAGCAUCCCCAAUGCGUGGUCACAAACACAAGUAAAGCAACUGCGUAACUGCAUAGCGAUCAUGAUCGCGACUAUAAAGGAGCGUGACACAACACAGUCGGCGUUACAUUUAUAUUACAGCAGCAAAGGAGUGAUAGGGGAUAACUGGCUUAGCAUAGUCAUUCUCCCUGAACCACAGAUAAGUAUUUGAUUUACGGAUGGGAGAUGACUGGGUCACCUUAUUCGUUAUGCGUGAAAAACAGACGGAACCACCCCUCUGAUGAGUCUUCCAACGGGUCUUUAGUACUUACGGAGCGCGGAAAGUAAUAUCUGACAGAGUAGGUACGACCAACAACAGGUGGCGAUUCACCACGCUAGUUUUCUUCGUUAGUACGAAAACCAUAACUAUUAAUACAUUUAUCAUUAUUAAUACGUGGAUCAUAGCUGUUUCUCAAAACAGUUUUCAUCCUAAAAUACACGAAAUCGAAAUUCCCGUAAACACUAAAGAAAUAAUAUAUAGAAGAAAAUACGAAGGUCCAACACCUUCUAAAAAUUUCUUGGAAGGGGAUUUCCUGAGAAACCCUGAAAAUACCCCGGAUGAGAAGACCCGUCACAACAACACUAACUCCUCUUACCUCCGGGGAACUCCUACCGUGGACGUAUCUCUACAUAAACACAACGCAGCCCAUGCUACGCCGAGUAAACUCCUACUCAUAAUACCCAAAGAUGCCGGUUCUUCUACGCCAUCAAAGGAGAGGGGUUGUUGCUCUCACUCUUAUGAGUUAGAAGACAGUCCUGCCUUUUUGUGGUAUUAAAGAUUACCAACUUUGAACCACCAAAUAUUUUGUCAAGUCCCGAUUUAGUGUGUCACGGAUCGUGAAGCGUUCAUUUUAUUGCUGGGUGCUGCUUGGCGCUUUAUUGAGAAAAACGGAUGACACAAAAUCUAUUAUUUAUGAAUGAGUAAAUCGAACCUGACAUCGUUAGUGAAAAUCCAUUUAAGUCGGAAUCAUUUGAAAAAAAAUUGUCGAUUGCGACUCUUACCGUACUGUUGUUCAAGAAACUCUGUGUAAAUCGGGUGAUAUUGCUAUCAAUACCAAAUGCAAUUAGCUUGGACAUAACAGCAUCAUAAUUUAAGGCUCGCACGGUUGUUAAUUUUUUUAUUGCCUACACACCCUCACCUACCAUAAUAACAAACGGUUAAAAAAAACACAGUCAGCCUUAAUGUAAUUUUUUCAGUCGUUUUUUAUUUUUUAUAUAAUGUCAAUUUUUAUUGUA